AGUCGAGCGAACAGACGAGGAGCUUGCUCCUCUGACGUUAGCGGCGGACGGGUGAGUAACACGUGGAUAACCUACCUAUAAGACUGGGAUAACUUCGGGAAACCGGAGCUAAUACCGGAUAAUAUAUUGAACCGCAUGGUUCAAUAGUGAAAGACGGUUUUGCUGUCACUUAUAGAUGGAUCCGCGCCGCAUUAGCUAGUUGGUAAGGUAACGGCUUACCAAGGCGACGAUGCGUAGCCGACCUGAGAGGGUGAUCGGCCACACUGGAACUGAGACACGGUCCAGACUCCUACGGGAGGCAGCAGUAGGGAAUCUUCCGCAAUGGGCGAAAGCCUGACGGAGCAACGCCGCGUGAGUGAUGAAGGUCUUCGGAUCGUAAAACUCUGUUAUUAGGGAAGAACAAAUGUGUAAGUAACUAUGCACGUCUUGACGGUACCUAAUCAGAAAGCCACGGCUAACUACGUGCCAGCAGCCGCGGUAAUACGUAGGUGGCAAGCGUUAUCCGGAAUUAUUGGGCGUAAAGCGCGCGUAGGCGGUUUUUUAAGUCUGAUGUGAAAGCCCACGGCUCAACCGUGGAGGGUCAUUGGAAACUGGAAAACUUGAGUGCAGAAGAGGAAAGUGGAAUUCCAUGUGUAGCGGUGAAAUGCGCAGAGAUAUGGAGGAACACCAGUGGCGAAGGCGACUUUCUGGUCUG
RNAcentral lists this ribosomal RNA (694 nucleotides) under uncultured Staphylococcus sp. RNAcentral describes it as "bacterial SSU rRNA". It matches the Rfam family "Bacterial small subunit ribosomal RNA", at positions 60 to 736 of the family's 1533-position model. Lineage: Bacteria; Bacillati; Bacillota; Bacilli; Caryophanales; Staphylococcaceae. The record is from RNAcentral.